AAGCCUGACCAGCAACGCCGCGUGAAGGAUGAAAUCCCUCGGGAUGUAAACUUCGCAAGAAUGGGAAGAAUGAGCGAGCGCUAAUACCGUUCGUGAUGACGGUACCAUUUGUAAGCUCCGGCUAACUCCGUGCCAGCACCGCGGUAAUA
RNAcentral lists this ribosomal RNA (149 nucleotides) under uncultured bacterium. RNAcentral's name for it is "partial 16S ribosomal RNA". It matches the Rfam family "Bacterial small subunit ribosomal RNA", at positions 379 to 525 of the family's 1533-position model. The record is from RNAcentral.